This 75-nucleotide transfer RNA is filed under the name Fretibacterium sp. OH1220_COT-178. Its description in RNAcentral is "tRNA-Val". It matches the Rfam family "tRNA". From Rfam's summary of the family: Transfer RNA (tRNA) molecules are approximately 80 nucleotides in length. Their secondary structure includes four short double-helical elements and three loops (D, anti-codon, and T loops). The record is from RNAcentral. RNAcentral also lists the same sequence under 1 other name. Lineage: Bacteria; Thermotogati; Synergistota; Synergistia; Synergistales; Aminobacteriaceae.
GGGUGGUUAGUUCAGAGGUAGAACGCUUCCUUGACACGGAAGAGGUCAGAAGUUCGAUUCUUCUACCACCCACCA